AUUUUCUGUCAACAAACAACGAUUUAUUAAUGAAAUUCUGGUAAAUUUAGAGGGAGCAUUAUGAGAAGCAAUUUAUGAGAAUUUUAUGUAUUGGAAAUUCGUAACGAAAAUAAUAUUUUCAGCUUAUAGGAAUGUAUGUUCUGUUAGGUGAAUGUUCUUCUGAUAAAAAAAUCCUUUGUUUCAUAUUUUCCCCCAUGAACGGACCCUUAAGUUGCAUAUUCGUUUGCGUCACUACCGGGGAAUUAUUCAGUACAGUUUAAAACUCUGAGCAAGCGACUUGAAUGUCGACCUAAAGCUUCUUUAUUUUAAAAAGAAAAAAAUAAUUUGUUUUUGAGAUUUUCUGCGAGGAAUAAUAUUCGCGCUAAAUUUAUUCAAGAUGACAUCAAUUUCAAAGAUAUUGAAAUUGUUGACUUUAAGCAUUUCAUUAUGGUACAUAUUGAAACCGUUAAUAUGCUGCAUUAGUAAAGGAUUUUGUUGUAUAAUAAUUUGUAUUUAAUCUCCAAAUUCAAGUCGAUGUAAAAUAAAUGCAUUGAUAUAACA
Molecule: long non-coding RNA, 540 nt
Organism: Leptopilina heterotoma
Lineage: Eukaryota; Metazoa; Arthropoda; Insecta; Hymenoptera; Figitidae
Exons: 2
Source: RefSeq, a predicted model, not a curated record